UCGGGGGGUUUGCAACGGUUGCUGAGGUGGAAAAGCUAGGGGAGCAAUCAGGAUAAGAUACCCUGGUAGUCCUAGCCAUAAACGAUCAGGACUGGGUGUGAGCCCUGUACGGGUCCCGCGCCGGAGCUACCGCGUUAUGUCUUGCGCCUGGGGAGUACGGUCCCAGGGAUGAAACUCAAAAGAAUUGACGGGGUCCCGCACAAGCGGUGGAACAUGUGGUUCAAUUUGACGCAACGCGAAGAACCUUACCUGGGCUUGAGCCGCACCGGACCAUCCCUAGAAAUGGGGACUUCCCGCAAGGGACUGGUGUAGAGGUGUUGCAUGGCUGUCGUCAGCUCGUGCCGUGAGGUGUUGGGUUAAGUCCCGCAACGAGCGCAACCCUUACUGGUAGUUGCCACCCGCAAGGGGGAACUCUACGAGGACUGCUCCGGAUAACGGAGAGGAAGGUGGGGAUGAGGUCAAGUCAGCAUGGCCUUUAUGUCCAGGGCCACACACGUGUUACAAUGCGCGCUACAAAGCGUCGCGAGCCCGCGAGGGGGAGCUAAUCGCAAAAAAGCGCGCUCAGUUCGGAUUGCAGUCUGCAACUCGACUGCAUGAAGCCGGAAUCGCUAGUAAUGGCGCAUCAGAACGGCGCCGUGAAUACGUUCCCGGGCCUUGUACACACCGCCCGUCACAUCACGAAAGUGAGCUGUACUAGAAGUCGCCGAGCUAACCGCAAGGAGGCAGGCGCCCAAGGUAUGACUCAUGAUCGGGGUGAAGUCGUAACAAGGUAACCUCCGAGCUCGGACCAAGCUA
This 795-nucleotide ribosomal RNA is filed under the name uncultured soil bacterium. RNAcentral's name for it is "bacterial SSU rRNA". It matches the Rfam family "Bacterial small subunit ribosomal RNA", at positions 725 to 1533 of the family's 1533-position model. The record is from RNAcentral.